RNAcentral lists this ribosomal RNA (265 nucleotides) under uncultured bacterium. RNAcentral's name for it is "partial 16S ribosomal RNA". It matches the Rfam family "Bacterial small subunit ribosomal RNA", at positions 793 to 1055 of the family's 1533-position model. The record is from RNAcentral.
GUCCACGCCGUAAACGAUGGAUGCUAGGUGUCGGCGGCUUCGACCCCGCCGGGACCGUAAGCUAACGCGAUAAGCAUCCCGCCUGGGGAGUACGGCCGCAAGGCUAAAACUCAAAGGAAUUGACGGGAACCCGCACAAGCGGUGGAGCAUGUGGUUCAAUUCGACAGUAAGCGAGAAACCUUACCAGGUCUAGAAAUCCAGCUGCACGCCCCGGGAAACCGGGGAAGCCUUCGAGGGUGCUGGACAGGUGCUGCAUGGCUGUCGU